This is a non-coding RNA of Pteropus alecto (black flying fox), 73 nucleotides long. NCBI's taxonomy places the organism in Eukaryota, Metazoa, Chordata, Mammalia, Chiroptera, Pteropodidae. The record is from Rfam.
GGUUCCAUAGUGUAGCAGUUAGCAUGUCUGCUUUACACACAGAAGGUCCUGGGUUCAUGCCCCAGUGGAGCCA